AGCAGCAGCCGCGGUAAUACGUAGGGUGCGAGCGAUAAUCGGAAUUACUGGGCGUAAAGCGUGCGCAGGCGGUUUUGUAAGACAGGCGUGAAAUCCCCGGGCUCAACCUGGGAAUGGCGCUUGUGACUGCAAAGCUAGAGUGCGGCAGAGGGGGAUGGAAUUCCGCGUGUAGCAGUGAAAUGCGUAGAUAUGCGGAGGAACACCGAUGGCGAAGGCAAUCCCCUGGGCCUGCACUGACGCUCAUGCACGAAAGCGUGGGGAGCAAACAGGAUUAGAUACCCGUGUAGUCCCUGUCUCUUAUAC
Molecule: ribosomal RNA, 303 nt
Filed under: uncultured bacterium
Lineage: Bacteria
Description: partial 16S ribosomal RNA
Rfam family: Bacterial small subunit ribosomal RNA
Source: RNAcentral